RNAcentral lists this long non-coding RNA (4573 nucleotides) under Brassica napus (rape). RNAcentral describes it as "long non-coding RNA (BNAP_LNC003594)". Lineage: Eukaryota; Viridiplantae; Streptophyta; Magnoliopsida; Brassicales; Brassicaceae. The record is from RNAcentral.
AGAUUCUUCGCACUGACUAUAGCUCCAUCGUAGUUAUACGGUAUCUCUCCUCCGUUUUUCGCCACGCAAGCGCAGUCCUUCGCUUCUGCACAGCGUCUGGUGCAACGGCAUCCCUUCGGAGGUAUCGGUCUGCACCAGUCAGGGUAAAUCAUCUUAACCGUGUAGAUGAACGAAGGAGGCUCCUCGUCGUCGAUCUCGUUCACAGCGCAAAUGGGAAGCCUCUCAUGCCCUUCCGAGAUGUCGAUCCUGCACAGACCCACACGCUCCUCUGCCUUCUUUGUGUUCUUCACCACUUUCCACGCGAGCUCGGGUUGUCCAGGCAUGCGCCUAAGCUUAAACUUAAACACAAGCUUCCCGUGCGAACCAGUCUCUUGCCAAAACGUCUCCACAACGUAUAAUCCAUCGUAAACAUAGCUUCUACCUUUCUUAUCGCCUGAUGAUUCCAAAACCGCCUUCUUGUUCCCUCUUAUGACACGAACAGGGUUCUUCUUUUUCACGCUGUUUGCUAACGCGAGGUUCCCAGUUACAAGCUUCUGGUCUUCAGGCAUCGGUACUUCCUUUCCUUUCUUGUUCUUUAUCACGUUUCCGCCUUGACCCGUGUAGGUCAAGACAUCAGUGUUGUCAAGCUCGUCAUCGUACCCUCCGGAGGCUACAAUACUCGUUGCAAAUACUUCAUCACCGAUCUUCAUAUAAUCAAUACCUCCUUGACUCGGUUUAUGUAUGCCGAGGAUGUUCAGCUCCAUCCUGUACUGAAACUCAUCACCUACUUCAAUCCCAGGGACAGCUCCCAUUAUAUGUUUUCCUGUGUUGAGAUACUUCCCUUUCUCCUUGAGAAUCUUCGCGGCUUCGCAGUCUACUCUGAACCUCUUUUGUUUCACAGGCUUUGCUUCUUCCUCUUGUAAAAGCUUUCUACAAGCUCCGUAGAAGAGACGUAGCGUUUCCUUGACUUUUGUCCGGCUAUCACCACCGCCGCUUGAGCCACUGGGACGCGAAGGAGGAAGCCCAACUUGUAAUGUCCGAGGGUGGCGAGGUAGCUCCCCUCUAUCUGGACUUCUUCCUCUCUCUCGCGAAUACAAAUUCUUCUUCAUCUUAGACCCUUCACCGUAAUCUAUAGUCAUCUUUUUGGCAACCUUCAACGGUUCAUGAAACGCAACGCUUUUUGUCGCUUUUCUUUUAACCGCACCAUGAGUCCGUUUUGGUUCAGAUGACAAUGCCUUAACCGCACUCUUAUCAUUUCCAUCCGGCAAGCAGAUCCUCAGCGGCUUAACCGCCGCAGGCUCAACAUGUCGAUCACUUGUAUACACCGUAGAUUCGCCAGACUCCUCUUUCUUUGGUUCCGGCUCAUGUUUAUCACCAUUAGAUUCAAAUACCACGAGCUCCAUGUCGUUACGAGGAUGAUGCUCAUCACGCUGCUCAGACUUUCUUUCCUCUUUACAAGGGUCAUCAGCAUUAGCAACAUUCAUGUUAGCUUCAGAAGACGGAACACUAGGGUGGUGAUCAUCAGCACCACCAACAGCAUUCCCAUUCUCUGGCAUUAUCGCCUUAAGCCUCAUGGCAGGGGUUCCACAACCUGGAGGGAAGUCUCUAUGCGCAAAAACCUUGCGGCGCUUGAACUUAAGCAUCUUAGUAGAAGCGGUUACACGAACAUUAUGCAAAACGUCUCCUCCUAGAUUCUCCUCAGGAACAUGACCAUUGCUCAAGGAACUAACUUUGAAUGACUCUGCAUGCACCAUAUCCUCCACUAAACGAGACAAUGGACUAAGACUCUAUGAACCAAAAAUCACCAGGACUUGUUCUACAACAAUGAACAAAACCUCAUCAAACAAAAAAACUCAUCUCUUUACAUCAAUUGAAUCAACGUAAUAUCUAUUCACGAACUUUGGAAUCAUAGCAGAGAAAAAUCUAUCGAAUCUGAUAGAUUCUAAGCUUGCGGAAACACGAAACCCAGAUUUUUUGGCGAAACAGCACGAUCUCAAAGGGUGAGGAAUCGAUUAAGAGAUCGAAUUGGCUAUCUUAUAACCAGAGAAGAGAGAGGGAAAGCUUACCGAUUGAAAGAGCGAGAUCGAAAGAAGAAGAAGAUGAAGAAUUCGAAGUUUAUAAUAGUCAGAAUUAGCGAUUUGAUUUGUUUCCUUGUGUUUUAUAACAAAUUAAAUAAAAACGUUUUAACGUUUGAGGAGAGUAAAAAUCUCAUAUACUGAGGCAAAAAAUGAUCUGAGAUACUCUUACGAAAUCUGACAUACUCUCUACUCUUCAUGAAAUAAGACAUUUCCAAUUUUGCCCUUACGUUUUCCCUCCUCAAGUGAAAAUUUGAAUUUUGAAUUUUAGGUAUCAAAUUUACAAUUUGAAUUUUGAAUUUUAAUGAAACUACGAACCAAGUUGAACCAAGUUAUACAAUUGUCGAAUUUUAGGUAUCAAAUUUAAAAUUUAAAUUUUGAAUUUUAGUGAAAGUUGAACCAAGUUAAACCAAGUUAUAUCAUUGUCAAAUUAUAUUUUUGGUGUACAUAUGUCAUAGUUUCACCAAGUUAUACCUCAAGACUGGUAUAACUAGGUUAUAGUUUUGCCAAGUUGUACAUUUGUCAAGGUACAACUUGGUAAACUAUCAGCUAGUUAUACAGUUUUACCAAGUUACAAAGUAGUAUAAUUUGGUAAAACUGUAUAACUAGGUUGUAGUUUUACCAAGUUGUACAUUUGUCAAAAGAUACAACUUAGUAAGAUUAUAACCUAGUUAUACAGUUUUACCAAGUUACACAAUAGUAUAACCUGGUAAAAUUGUUUUUCUGGGUUUGUAGUUUCACUUCCGUGUUCUACUUUGAUAUAUGCGUUUCUGGAUCUUAAAAACCGAUAAUACCAAAAAUCAGACUGACGUUGAUGCGGAGAAUAAGCGAAGUAGUAGGUAGAGAAGAAGAAGGAAAAUGUGGAGAAGAAAAUGAAAAAACAGUUUAGAUUCAAAGAAGAACAAAGGAAAAAACAGAAAAAUCAGUAGAUGAAGAAUGAAAGAUAGAUCUAGAUUCAAAGAAGAGCAAAAAAAAUAUAGAGAAAACUAAAAUAAAAACGGAGCAAUCAGUACAGAUGAAAAUCGAAAAUAAAACAAGAGAAACAGAGAGAAAAACAUAUUCGAAAAAGAAGAGAUUUGAAUGAAAGAAUGAAUGAAAGAGAAGAGAGAAAAAAAGAGAAGAGAGAAAGAAAGAAGAUGAAGAAUGAAAGAUAGAUCUAGAUCUGUAGAGAUAAGGAAGAAAAUUAGGUUUAAUGGCAUAGUCUGUAAAUAACUAUAUUCAUUAAUGAUAUAUUGGGUUUUUAGUCAGAUUUCGAAUUAAAAAUAAAUAAAAAUAAAAUGAAUUUAGGAUGGAGAGUAUCUGAAAACUUUUUUUCGAUAGAGGAGUACUGGAGCAUUUAAUUCCUUGGAUGGAGCUUCGGGAGUAUGAUCCCUUGCCGGAGUGUUCGUGUGGCGAGGUUAAGGAACGAGCAGAAGAGGCGAGAGAGAAGGAGGAGCGUCACGCGUUUCUGAUGGGUUUGAAUAAGGAAUUAAGCUUUAUGAGAACUCAAAUCAUGAUCAUGAAUCCUCCUCCUUCGUUAAACCAAGCCUACUUGAUGCUUAGCAGAGCAGAAUCAACGUUGAACUCGACAAGAUGAUGAAUAAUAUUGUUUUCACUUGAACAAUUGUCUCUGUUCUAUUUAAAUUUCAGUGUUUCUUUAAACAAGAAGAAUCCGACAUAAACAGGGACACAAGUUCGAUUAGUAAAGCCUACCGGUACAAUCAGAAGAACCACAGUAGCAUGUUUUUUUCUUGAUAUUACCAUUAGAGUCACGUACCUGAUCGAUCAUGUAAUUGUAGUGGUACGUGAGUUCUUGAAGAGGAGGUACAUUGUCCAUUGCGAAGAACAUCACGUGAGGGAUCCUCGUGUCUUCAUGAUCAUACAACACGUUCUGCGCGUACAGAUUCGGCGAGCAGCAGUGGUUUAUGAACCUCCCUAUGUUCCCUUUCUUUGCUGCAUCAAUGGUGAACCCGCUCAUCUCAUCAUCAUCUCCUCCCAUGGCCGGCUGCGUCUCAGGCAUUAGCUUCGACAUCCCUUCAGCUAAAGAGUUGUCGUAUCUGUUCCCAAUAUCAAAGAGAUACUCGUCGUUCCCUGUUCUUCUCUCCGCUUCUUUGUCCUCUAAAAGCUCACCUACGUACUCGCAUAUGAAGCUACCUGAAGGGAUCGAGCUGAGAGAUCUCACUCCCCAUCCUCUCGACUCGGUUUUGAAGAUCUCAAGCGGGAACUUGAUCCCUCUCUGCGUGACUCUUAGGUAGCAAGAAGCAGGGCAUUUACAAAGAGGGCCACACUCGUAGAUCAGAUUCUUCGCACUGACUAUAGCUCCAUCGUAGUUAUACGGUAUCUCUCCUCCGUUUUUCGCCACGCAAGCGCAGUCCUUCGCUUCUGCACAGCGUCUGGUGCAACGGCAUCCCUUCGGAGGUAUCGGUCUGCACCAGUCAGGGUAAAUCAUCUUAACCGUGUAGAUGAACGAAGGAGGCUCCUCGUCGUCGAUCUCGUUCACAGCGCAAAUGGGAAGCCUCUCAUGCCCUUCCGAGAUGUCG